AUGGAGGGGGGGGGGAGGAGGGGAGAGCCCCUAUUUGAGAAAGUCUUCCAUUUCCCGGCUGACAAGCCAGCCCCCCGCCCCGCGCCCCGCGCCCCGCGCCCCGCGCCGAUCCCCGCGAGCCCGGGCUCUCCGGCGCGCGUCCUCCGUCCCGGCGCCCGCCGCUUCGGCCGCUCCGGGUGCGGCGUCUCCUUCCACCCACUAGAAUCCGUCCCCGACGGGCGGGUGGUGCCUCGGGCUCCAGUCACAGACUCGAGCUCGCAAAAUGGAGGAGGAGGAAGAGGAGGAGGAGGAGGAGGAGGAGGAGGAGGAGGAGGAGGAGGGGAGGGAGCGCGGACACGCGAAAGGGCCGCCCGGCCGCGGCGAGCGAGCGGGACCGACCGGGGGGCGGGCGGAGGCGGCGCCACGGCGCGCACACACUCGCUCACACGCGCUCCCACUCCACCCCCGGCCGCUCCCCGCCCGAGGGGCCGCGCGGCGGCGGGGAACGGUGCAACCUGUUGGCGACGCUCGGCAACUGCAGGGGCGGCCCAGCCCCCGCCCCCGCCCCACGCCCUCCGCGGGGGCCCCGCCACCCCGGCCCCGACGGCGCCCGCACGCCCCCGGCAUCGCCCGGGACUGGGCUGCCGGCCGCCGCCCCAGAGCGCGCGGGGCUUCUGCGCGCCCGCCCCGCCACCCCCCGCGAGCAGGAGAGGCAGCGGCGGCGGGGGCCGACCUGGUCUCUCCGGGGCGGGCUUGGGAGGGAAGCCGAGUUUCUCUAGUUUGUCUUCUCGCUGCCUCGUUCCCGCCCCCGCCCAGCUCCGCGACUCCCGACCCACUCCGGAGCCGGCCCGGUCCUUGGGCGGCCACGGCCGGCGGCGCCCCUGCGGUGACAGCGCGCCGCCCGGGGUGCGGGGCGGGGUGCGGGGCGGGGGCGGGGGCCGGGGGCCGGGGCGCGGCCCGCAGCCGCAGCAGCGCCGCGAGGGGGUCCGCGCCGCCGCCCCGGGCCCGAGUUGCACGAAGUGUCACUUAGCGCGGGGCUACUGGGGUUGCACGGAAACGGUGCCGCAGCGUGUCGGCCGCUUGCGGGGCCGGCCCGCCAGACACGCCCUCUGGGGGGCAGCGAAGGGGGUCGGCGCACACAGACUCUAG
This 1128-nucleotide long non-coding RNA is filed under the name Canis lupus dingo (dingo). RNAcentral's name for it is "lncRNA (ENSCAFG00020019893.1)". The record is from RNAcentral. Lineage: Eukaryota; Metazoa; Chordata; Mammalia; Carnivora; Canidae.